UACGUAGGGCGCAAGCGUUGUCCGGAAUUAUUGGGCGUAAAGAGCUCGUAGGUGGUUUGUCGCGUUGUUCGUGAAAACUCACAGCUUAACUGUGGGCGUGCGGGCGAUACGGGCAGACUAGAGUACUGCAGGGGAGACUGGAAUUCCUGGUGUAGCGGUGGAAUGCGCAGAUAUCAGGAGGAACACCGGUGGCGAAGGCGGGUCUCUGGGCAGUAACUGACGCUGAGGAGCGAAAGCGUGGGGAGCGAACAGG
Molecule: ribosomal RNA, 253 nt
Filed under: uncultured bacterium
Lineage: Bacteria
Description: partial 16S ribosomal RNA
Rfam family: Bacterial small subunit ribosomal RNA
Source: RNAcentral